Long non-coding RNA from Taeniopygia guttata (zebra finch), 4586 nucleotides. The record is from Ensembl. Lineage: Eukaryota; Metazoa; Chordata; Aves; Passeriformes; Estrildidae.
UUUUUUUUUUUUUUGGGGGGGGGGGGGGUUUAAAGCCAAGAUUUUGAAUAUUAGCUUAUUUACUAAUUACAUUGAAGCAGCUCAUAAAGUUUGAGGAAGACAUGCACAAUAAAUGUUUAUUUUCCCUGCAACUGUAUGUUUCACUAGAUCUGUUCCAUUUUCCCUCUUUAAGAGGUAAACAGCAAUAGAUAAUGUGAAGACAUGAAAGAGGUAUUUAUAGCACAGAAAAACACAAGGUUGCUCUAUAAUACAGUCAUGCUUAGACCCAAGUGAAAAAAACCCUAAAUUAUGAAAGGUGCAUUUAAACCAGAUAUACUUAAAACAGUAUUUUAAUAAAUGGAGCAAGGUAUAACCAACACAAGCAUAUCUACAUUGUUUGUGUCUGCAGGUUAUGCAGAACAGCUUGUAGUCUUUAAUAUUUUAAGCGCAGAAGGGAAGAAGCUUUAAAAAAUGGAGGAAAAGAGGAGAAUACAAAAAGCUAUCCAGCACUCUGUAUACUACUAGGUCUCAUCUCUGCUUUUUUCCUCAAUCUCUAACAUCCUAAAUCUUCAAGAUCAGAAUCUUUAAUGCUGCUAUAAUCAGAUAAAUAUCAGUUCAGUGCAUGCCAGUGAUGCUGCUCAAUGAAUGAAAUUAUGUUUGUUUUGAUCAAGGCCUUAUGAACUUCCCAGUUUAGAUAAAUCUUGGUAUUACAGGCUCUGUGUGUAUUCACAGUUCUCAUGCACAAGAAAUAGACUUGCUUUUCUGUGGUCUCUCUACUGUCCAGAAGACUGGCUACUGUUCUGUACAUAAGAUCAUGAAUUGGGGAAGAUUUAUAGAACUGAGAUUAAGGCUCAGCAAAUUUGUAUGUGAUGACCAGCUCAGCAAAAGGCUUUUUUCAAUCAGAACACGAUGACACAGUGUGGACACCUUUUCCGGGCUCUGGAAUCCUUUUCCAUAGCUGGUGAAUGGUUUAUUUCAGCAUUGACAGCAACACCUCCAACCUCAGUCAAUAACAGGAGCUCUCUAAUGAAGGACAGAGGAGAGCAGGAGGAUCAGCAAGAGGAGCCUGGGAAUGAGGGGGAGCCACCAGAACCCGUGCAGAGAGAGGCUCUAGGACUUCCAUCAAAUCAGGCAGUGCCCUCCAGUGAAGCACACUGGUCACACUGGGAGCUGGGGAUAUUCACAGGACUAGCAUUUCAUUAAGGGAAUGCCCCUUUGAUGAAUGCAUCUUCAAGCCUCACAUAAAAUAGGAGAAAAUUUAUUUUUCUACUUGAGCUUGGGUUAUGUAUUUAUAAUGGAAGACUUUCCAGAUGGAAAAUGAUGAAUAUAUGUAAAGUCUUGCUAUAAUUUAAGUAAGGCUUUUUAAUUCAAAGAAAGCAAAAAAACCUGUAAUGUGAGCUGUCUAGACUCUCAAGAGGAAGUGGAGAACAUUUAUGUUUUUUGAAACAAAUAUCUAAAAUGAUUUAUAUAUUAUCCUCUGAAAGGGCUUAUUUUUAUCAGAUAACUAUAGAAUUAUCUAGAUUAGACUAUUAUCAGGGAGAUAGUUAAAUAUACAGGGAAUUUCUGUGAAGUGAAUCCUAUUCUACUUUCCAAGAAUCACUGUGUUUAUCUCCAUACUUUUAAGGACCUUAACUUAUGGAAAGGUUUAACUUGGUCAAUCCUUUGACACCUAAAUGAAAGCUGGAAGUAUUUGACACCUAAAUAUUCAUUUGAAUAACAUGCAAAAGUUUGAAAGAGCAAGAAAAACAGGGGUUGAACUGGGAUAACGCAGAGAUCAGCCUCUUUGUGUUUUUCUGUUGCUCUUAAAAACAUAAAGAAUUGACCAGUUUGUUUCAGUUUGGCGAGAGUCAGUAAUUCAAUAACAUGCCAUAUAAUGAUGAAUAUGCCAGAGUCAGAAAUCAAUGACAGAGAGUGUAAAACUUUAAAAAGUUGGUGAAUUAUUUAGGUGUCUCUCUUAACUGAGAAUUUUUCUAGGCAUGUUUUUGACUAGCCAAGUGUGUUUGGAGAGCUGGCUGUUUUUGUUUUUUUUUUUCUCAGUCUCUGCAUUAAUUUCUCGAUUUGCCUGAAAGUUCAGUUAGCUGCAGCUAAGGGCACAGGUAGAUUUAACAUGGAUGAGUCAGAAAGGUUUAACAAGUUACCACCAAUCUCCUCAGCUGACACCAUUCUCCAUCACAGGUUGGGCUUUUUUUCCCCUCAAAGUCAAGGCAAAGUGCAUGAGCCUCAACCUCAUUCAUUAUUGCUUAAGCUCAGACACAGAGGUCUUGAGGCAAUCUCCAAGCACAGCCACAUGUAGAUACAGUGGCUCAGUUAAUAUAUAAUAUCUUUAAAGAGCUUCUGGAAUUCAAUCCUAUGGCCCUACUACAACACAGACUGCCAUUGUUCUUCAGUAAUUUAGCUCUUCACAGCCACUCUGCUGGCUUUCAUCUUGCCUUUGAUGAGGCAAAGCCAAUGUGAAACUGCCACUGACAGCAGUAUUGUUCUAGGGUAUGCUCCUUUGUCACCCUGUACAGAAGAAGGCAGAAGAGAAGAAGCCCCACUAUCAGUAAUUGGAGUUAAAUUAGAUACAGUUACACUGACAUAAUGCUUUGUGCUUGUUAUUUUAUCCCUCAUUUCUUCCUAACCUCUCUUGCUAGAAGCAAGUUUUGCCCAGUCUAAGCAGCUUUUCUGCUAGUAAAUGUGCUGGCACAAUUUUUAAAGUAUUUCUGCAUCACAAACGCUAGCUUGGACUGGGUACCAGUAAAUAGAAUUUACAAUCAGCCUUCCUAAGGAGCUCAGGUCAUAAUGGCUCGUGUUACUGUGUGCUUUUGAAAGCUGGACUGCAUUAAGGUGUCUAUAUGGGCUCAGGGUUUGAAACAAAGAUAAUUUAUCGUGAAGGUGCUUCAGCAAGAAUAGAGAUGAGAAUGUCUUUCAUGGAGGAAGAGGAAUGAAGGGCAGGGAGGAAAAAGGAAAGUGAGAUUACCCUCUUUCCCCUGUGUGUCUGUUAUAUAUACCCUCUAAGGAGAUGGAGAACAAAGAAGAGAAGUCUGAUUUGGCAGGAAGCAGCUGAUCCAAGAUGAGGCAGUUAACAUUAUCUCUUAUUUGGAAUUCCUGUCCUUCCCUCAGACAUAUCCUUUUCUGCUCCUGUAGAAUAGGUACCUGCUCAGAGGUCUGCCUCAGUCCCUAAACAAGAGAUGGGACAAGCCUUUGUGAAACAGUGCAAAACAAAACUAGAAGGGUUGAUUUAAUUUCUCCCACACAUUUUGACUUAAGGAGCUGUAAAGCACUGCAGAAGAGUCUUUGUAAAAUAAGGUGCUUUCCUGUAUUGUAUUUAUCCUGUUAACCUUUUAAUCCCACCAACUGUACAUGCAGCAGAUUUAUUGCCACCGUUUUGGUUCUGAUCUUGCAAAAGGACCCAGUUCAUCUGUAACUUGGUCCUGUCAGUGCUGUCUGUUGCUGUAGUAACAUAGUAGUGCUAUACACCUUCAGGAAUCAGUGCUGCAGAACUGCUGACUUUUCUAAUAAGGAAAAAAAAAAAGGAAGAUAAAAUACCCUUUGAUUACAUCUAUCAUUCUUUGUGUUGCAGUGCUGUAACAAUGGAACUUUAAUGUUCCCUCUGAAAUAAAAAGAAAAAAAAGAGAAAACAGGACUUUCUCCAUUGUAUGGGGUUGAAGGAAGGUCUCGACUUUAAAUCCCCUGACAUGGACAUAUACUGCUGGGCUCAGUUUCAUGUUGGUACAGUCACAAAAAAUUGUAAUGAAGUCCACAGAGUUAUGCUGACAUAAAAUCCUCUGAACAAGGCUAGAAUCAAAUAUCUAACUUCUGUUAAAUUUCAUUGACUGUUAAUCCUGUGGGCUAACCUGAAGACCUAUUGUGGCCCACCAUGACACAGUAACUCUCUACCUCUGCAAUGGCUCCUAUGUUUGGUGGUGGAUAAAAAUUUCUGCUUGCAGCAGGAGCCUUGUUAACUAAGAACAUCUUCCUUUCAUUCCUGUUUUCAUUUCCCACUGCAUACACUGGAAAACUUUAUAAUCAAGAAGAUACCUAUUCCUGAACAGUGCAAAUUCAAACAUAAAAUUUAAGUAGUGACUGAAGUAUUUGCUGCAGUUUGGUUUUCUGCUUCCUUUGUCCCACUGAACACAGCAGCAGGGUUACAAUUGUACUUGUAUGCACAAGUUGUUUCUGUGCCUGGACAAGCCCAUGCUAGUACAGCAGCAAGAUCAGACUGAGCAGUAGAUGCUGCAGAAAUUAUAAUUCCUAUCCACAUUUAUCUUUACACAGGUAUAGGUAUAUUAGGAAAAUUAAUGCUCUCUAAACGUACUCAAUAAUGGCAAUAUGCUGACGAAUAAAAUGCAAUAGACAAUUAUUGAAUCUUAUCUAGGUAAAAAGCUUAAAGAAGUGACUGUCUCUUACAGUAACUUUUCAUAUGAUGCAAAUACUGUUAUUUUAAUGAAAGCCCUGGGCUUUGCAGUCUGAGUCAUGUACUUAGAGUCCUCAAAAUGGACACCACUGUAGCAACAGAAAAAAAUUACUGUGCAGUAUUAAUGGGUUCCUUGUUGGCGUCGCUUUUUUAUGAGCCUUUUGUGUAAAUUUUCCCAGAUUACUUUAAAACUCCAGUUGGAAUGAUUUCC